RNAcentral lists this ribosomal RNA (358 nucleotides) under uncultured Thauera sp. Its description in RNAcentral is "bacterial SSU rRNA". It matches the Rfam family "Bacterial small subunit ribosomal RNA", at positions 1023 to 1382 of the family's 1533-position model. Lineage: Bacteria; Pseudomonadati; Pseudomonadota; Betaproteobacteria; Rhodocyclales; Zoogloeaceae. The record is from RNAcentral.
AGACGAGGAGGACAGGUGGUGCAUGGUUGUCGUCAGCUCGUGUCGUGAGAUGUUGGGUUAAGUCCCGCAACGAGCGCAACCCUUGUCAUUAGUUGCCAUCAUUUAGUUGGGCACUCUAAUGAGACUGCCGGUGACAACCGGAGGAAGGUGGGGAUGACGUCAAGUCCUCAUGGCCCUUAUGGUAGGGCGUUCACACGUCAUACAAUGGUCGGUACAGAGGGUUGCCAAGCCGCGAGGUGGAGCCAAUCCCUUAAAGCCGAUCGUAGUCCGGAUCGUAGUCUGCAACUCGACUACGUGAAGUCGGAAUCGCUAGUAAUCGCAGAUCAGCAUGCUGCGGUGAAUACGUUCCCGGGUCCUU